UUGGCCAGGGACACGCAUGCGCACUAAGUGACCCUCCAUUUUGAAAAUGGAGGGGAAAGCCGUUACUCCUUGUUGGUUCGGCAUAAAUAAGGCGUCGUAUAUCGCUUCUCGCGAAACAUGGCCCCCACCAUUGUCUACUCAUCAACCCAGGAGAGGCUGAGAGUCAAAGGGAAUGUAGUGUAAGCUCAAAAUGCGCGGGGAUUGGUAGUUAGCGACCGCAGCAAGUUUUGUCGGAACAGAUCGCCCCCCUCCCCUCCACCAUUUUUAGACGGUCACAGUGGUCUUUCGUACACCAACAGUGGAGACUUCCUUCAGAAGUGCAGCACAGGUUGUGAGAAGGAUGGCUGGGAACAAAGCAAGCAACUGUCAGAGGCUCUGUUGCUGAAGUACUGCUACAAGAAUGGUUCAUUACAAGGACUCCAAAUCCACACCAAGAAGUCCAACAUGCGGGCACUGAGGGAGAAGCUUACACUGAGGCCAUGACAGCAGUGGUCUCAGAUGUACAUGUAUAUUGGAAUAGGGAGUUCUUUUUAUUACACGCACAAGCAGUUCCAUAGCAUACAAUCUGGUGCACCAUACAUGUAGGUGUUCAAAUAACAUUGACUAUCAUAAUUCCACCAGAUGCCAUAAUACCGCCACCUCAAAAAAACGUUAGUAUAUGUAGGUCUUCCCAAAAUUGUCUUGAACACCGAAUGUUAUAUAUCCUACAUGUAAUAAAAUUUACAAUUCAGAUAUUUAGGUGUUGAAGAUAAUCUUCAGAAGGCCUCUAUGACAAUGUUUUAUGAGGUGGUGGUAUAAUGGCACCUGGUGGAAUUAUGCGAAUGUAUGUUACUAGUAAGUUUAUGCAGCUACAAGUUGAUUUUUGCAUUUGACAUAUAUGUUUAGAAUGUAUAGAUUGACAUUAAUGUACAUGUAACAUACAGAUAUCAUCUGUUUUUAAAUCAAAUAAUGAUAAAGCAUUACUUGAAUAAACACGUAGCAGAUAGUAACUGUAAAUCCAGAAAUGUUCGGGGUUUAACGUGAACUAAAAAUUGCUUUGAACAACCGCAUGCGCGCAUACUAGUACCUUCUUGACCAAGACCCGGAUACAUAUGUGACUGUUACGCAACCACAAACUCAUAGCGAUUACCUUCCUACUGUGAACUUAGAUGCAUUUACAGUACAUGGCACUGAUCAUGUUGACAAAGUGUAAAACAGCAUGGGCCCCACUAAAUGUUGACCUACAUAUUUCUAAGUUUUAGAUGAUAAAUCAUUGAUUGGAUGAUAUGUAGUAGUUACAUGAUACUGCCUAUUGAAGGGUGAAACAUUGCAGGCCACACUGAAUGUUGCACUACAAGUCUUAUAUGUCAUUGACAUUGCAGGUCAGUUUUCCUUGUGAUGCUACUGUUUCUUUGCACUUCUCAAGCUUUCAUUAUACAAUCAUACUUUCAUAGGUGACAUGAUAUUAUCAUUGACAACAAAGUCAGGAUUUUGCACAGAACAUGCUACUACAGUUUGUACUUGUAUUUACUGUAUAUAAUAUAAUUAUAAAGACUAUUCUUGUAUUUAUAAUUUACCAAGACAAAUAUGUUUAUAUUGUGUGGUUUAUGUGUGUGUUGUACAGAGUAGGUGGUAGCUGAUAAAACUAUACAUUUUAUUUGCAGUGUAUACUAGUAUCCUUCAGAAAAUGUAACUAAACUGUUGCUAUGUUUAUCUAUUAAAUUUUGCUGUAUUUUAUCAAAAACAUAUCCUUCUGAUUCAUAGUUGUGAAUAAAUGUGGGUAAUUUAGGAUGUCA
This is a long non-coding RNA of Branchiostoma floridae (Florida lancelet), 1775 nucleotides long. RefSeq lists it as uncharacterized. The record is from RefSeq and is a predicted model, not a curated record. The transcript is spliced from 3 exons. NCBI's taxonomy places the organism in Eukaryota, Metazoa, Chordata, Leptocardii, Amphioxiformes, Branchiostomatidae.